AUUAUGUAUAAAAAGAAAUUAUUAUGGAUAAUUAGCUAUAUAUUAAAGAAUCACAUAGAUGUUAUCUUGAUUCUAAGAGAAAUCCUAAAUAAUAAAACAAAGUGAAUUGAAAUAUCUUAGUAACUUUAGGAAAAUAAAUCAAACGAGAUUGUUAUUUAAGUAAAUACUAAAUAAUAAUAGCCUAAUUUAAGUAAAAUGGAUAAUAUCUGUUUGAAUAUAGGGGAACCUUCCUCUAAGGCUAAAUAUGAUAUAUAAGCGAUAGUGAAUAGUACCGUGAGGUAAAAUUUGAAAUAGUAAUUUUAUAAGCAGCUCGAGUAAAAAUUAAAAUUAAAAAUAAGAGUGUACCUUUUGCAUAAUGGGUCAGCAAGUUAAUUUUAGAUGCAAGUGUAUAAUUUUUAGUAUUUUUUGAGAUAUUAAAUUAUCUAAGAUAAACCAAUUAUGAAAAAAUGAUAAGUAUCUAAAAUUAGACCCGAAGGCUAGUGAUCUUACCAUGGUCAGGGUUAAAAAAGCCCGAACGGGUUAUCGUUGUAUAGAUAUCCGAUGAAUUGUGGUAAGUUAGUGAAAGAUAAAACUGACUAGUAUAGCUGGUUUUCCGCGAAACCUAUGUGAGUAGGUAAUUUAAUUAACAUCUUAGCAGGUACAGAACUGUGAUCUCGGACAAUAUUAUUUAUAUAAUAUUUGUUUACAUCGGGGGAUUGUAGUGAUUUUAUCGGAGAGUAUUUGCACUCGGAAGGGCAAAGAUGAUUGUUGAAUAAUCGGACAUAGUACGAUAAGGUUGUAUGUCUAAAGGGAAACAGCCCAGAACAAGAGUUUAAGGUUCCAAAAUUAUUGUUAAGUGAAAUUAAGGAUGUUUUUUUCAAAAACAAUCAGGAAAUAGGCUUAGAGGCGGCCAUUUUUUGAAGAUCUCGUAACAGAGCACUGAUUAAAUUUAAUAGGAAAAAAUACCGAAAAUUUAACGGAUCUAAAUAAUAUACCGAAACCUUGUACACAAUAACUGUGGGGUAGCGGAACAUCGGAUGUUUGAAUAUUAAGUAUAUUUUUUUUUUUAAGUAUACUUACAAGUAUAAUAUAAUAUAUACUUUUUAUUUUAUAUUAUACUGAGAGAAUUCCGAUAGAUAAUGCUGACAUGAGUAACGAAAAAGUUAACCUCGCCUUAAGCUUAUGGUAUUUUAUUUAAUUUUCGGUGUCUAAGUAAUUAAUCUAAAGAUAAUUGCGAUGACGUAAUGGUGAAUAUGUAAUUAAUAUAUUUAUUAAUUAUAUUUCUAACUAAUUACUAAACUAUUGAUAUACAAUAUGUAUAUAUUUAUUAUUUUAUUGAAAGAUUGCAUAACCUUUGUAAAGUAGCAUAGGUUCAGGAAGUAAAUUUUUCAUUAUAUAUAUAUAUAUAUACUUAGAUAUUGCUGUAUUAAAUUAUAUAGUUAUAGUAGUUAGUAUAUACCGUACCUAGAUACUAACACAAGUAAGCAAGUAGAGUAUACAAAGGCGUUUGAGUGAACAAUCAUUAAGGAACUCGGCAAAUUAACUACCGUAACUUCGGGAUAAGGAGAACCAUUUUUAUUAGUUUGACCAAUUUUUGGAUAAUUAUUAAAUUAAUAGAAAGAGGAGGCAUAGAAUAAUGUUGUACGACUGUUUAAUAAAAACAAAGCACUCUGCCAAGAUAAAAUGUCUAAGUAUUGAGUGUGAUGUCUGCCCAAUGUCGGCUGGAUAACGAAUUUAUCUUGAUAUUUAUUUAAGGUUUUGAAGGAUACCCCGAUCAAUGGCGGCCUUACCUAUGAGGGUCCUAAGGUAGCGGAAUACCUUGGCCGUUAAAUGCGGUCUUUGCAUGAAUGACUUAACGAUACAACAGCUGUCUCGAUGAUUGUCUCAGUGAAAUUGGAAUAGCAGUGCAGAUACUGUUUACCUCUAGAUAGACGAGAAGACCCUAUGCAGCUUUACUGUUACUAAUUACAAGAGAUUAACUUUAAGUUAAUUGCGAGUGUAUAAGGUAGUCGUAAGACAAUAAUGAAACACCUUUAUUUGUACUUAUCAUAUACUCUUGAUGAUUAGGAGGCAGUUUAUGCGGGGCACAGAUCCCACAAAAAGUACCUGGGUAUAUCCAAAGUUCAUAUUGUAAAUUUGUAAAUUAUUAGUUACAAAUAUUUUAAUUUGUUAUUAAUUAUGUUAGUAAUAAUACAGUUAUUAUUAGAUUAAAUUCAGUAUAUUUUUUUAUUUUUAGUAAGAUUUUAACUAUAUGGUGAAUAGAUGUAUUUUAAGCUAAAAGUUGUUUUAGCUUAUUUUUAUAUUAAUAUUGUAUAUGUUCUUUAUUAAUAUAAUUUUUAUAUAUACUAUAAAAGUUUAAUGGCUAAAUCUUGCUUUACUGUUUGACUUACAAGUCUAUCAGUCGCGUAAGCGGGGCAUAUGAUCACAAGAUGCAUAAAGGAAAGGUCUUGGAUUAAAGAAAAAGUUACGCUAGGGAUUUAGCUUAAGUCCCUUAAUAUCAUAAGAUAUUAUAUAUAAUUU
Molecule: non-coding RNA, 2499 nt
Organism: Talaromyces stipitatus
Lineage: Eukaryota; Fungi; Ascomycota; Eurotiomycetes; Eurotiales; Trichocomaceae
Source: Rfam